AUCUUUCUAGUUUCUUUGUUGGUAGAAGCCUGCUCCCAUGAUUUGGCCUGUGUCAACCCCAGGGAUUGAUA
Molecule: transfer RNA, 71 nt
Filed under: Gnathopogon polytaenia
Lineage: Eukaryota; Metazoa; Chordata; Actinopteri; Cypriniformes; Gobionidae
Description: tRNA-Gly
Source: RNAcentral